CCUACGGGGGGCAGCAGUGAGGAAUAUUGGUCAAUGGGCGCGAGCCUGAACCAGCCAAGCCGCGUGAGGGAAGACGGUCCUAUGGAUUGUAAACCUCUUUUGUCGGGGAGCAAAAGACGCCACGCGUGGCGUUCCGAGAGUACCCGAAGAAAAAGCAUCGGCUAACUCCGUGCCAGCAGCCGCGGUAAUACGGAGGAUGCGAGCGUUAUCCGGAUUUAUGGGGGUUAAGGGGUGGGCAGGCGGAAGAUCAAGUCAGCGGUAAAAUUGAGAGGCUCAACCUCUUCGAGCCGUUGAAACUGGUUUUCUUGAGUGAGCGAGAGGUAUGCGGAAUGCGUGGUGUAGCGGUGAAAUGCAUAGAGAUCACGCAGAACACCGAUUGCGAAGGCAGCAUACCGGCGCUCAACUGACGCUCAUGCACGAAAGUGUGGGUAUCGAACAGGAUUAGAUACCCUUGUAGUC
This 459-nucleotide ribosomal RNA is filed under the name uncultured bacterium. Its description in RNAcentral is "partial 16S ribosomal RNA". It matches the Rfam family "Bacterial small subunit ribosomal RNA", at positions 338 to 795 of the family's 1533-position model. The record is from RNAcentral.